GGUUAAGCGACUAAGCGUACACGGUGGAUGCCCUGGCAGUCAGAGGCGAUGAAGGACGUGCUAAUCUGCGAUAAGCGUCGGUAAGGUGAUAUGAACCGUUAUAACCGGCGAUUUCCGAAUGGGGAAACCCAGUGUGAUUCGUCACACUAUCAUUAACUGAAUCCAUAGGUUAAUGAGGCGAACCGGGGGAACUGAAACAUCUAAGUACCCCGAGGAAAAGAAAUCAACCGAGAUUCCCCCAGUAGCGGCGAGCGAACGGGGAGCAGCCCAGAGCCUGAAUCAGUGUGUGUGUUAGUGGAAGCGUCUGGAAAGGCGUGCGAUACAGGGUGACAGCCCCGUACACAAAAAUGCACAUACUGUGAGCUCGAUGAGUAGGGCGGGACACGUGGUAUCCUGUCUGAAUAUGGGGGGACCAUCCUCCAAGGCUAAAUACUCCUGACUGACCGAUAGUGAACCAGUACCGUGAGGGAAAGGCGAAAAGAACCCCGGCGAGGGGAGUGAAAAAGAACCUGAAACCGUGUACGUACAAGCAGUGGGAGCACGCUUAGGCGUGUGACUGCGUACCUUUUGUAUAAUGGGUCAGCGACUUAUAUUCUGUAGCAAGGUUAACCGAAUAGGGGAGCCGAAGGGAAACCGAGUCUUAACUGGGCGUUAAGUUGCAGGGUAUAGACCCGAAACCCGGUGAUCUAGCCAUGGGCAGGUUGAAGGUUGGGUAACACUAACUGGAGGACCGAACCGACUAAUGUUGAAAAAUUAGCGGAUGACUUGUGGCUGGGGGUGAAAGGCCAAUCAAACCGGGAGAUAGCUGGUUCUCCCCGAAAGCUAUUUAGGUAGCGCCUCGUGAAUUCAUCUCCGGGGGUAGAGCACUGUUUCGGCAAGGGGGUCAUCCCGACUUACCAACCCGAUGCAAACUGCGAAUACCGGAGAAUGUUAUCACGGGAGACACACGGCGGGUGCUAACGUCCGUCGUGAAGAGGGAAACAACCCAGACCGCCAGCUAAGGUCCCAAAGUCAUGGUUAAGUGGGAAACGAUGUGGGAAGGCCCAGACAGCCAGGAUGUUGGCUUAGAAGCAGCCAUCAUUUAAAGAAAGCGUAAUAGCUCACUGGUCGAGUCGGCCUGCGCGGAAGAUGUAACGGGGCUAAACCAUGCACCGAAGCUGCGGCAGCGACGCUUAUGCGUUGUUGGGUAGGGGAGCGUUCUGUAAGCCUGUGAAGGUGUACUGUGAGGUAUGCUGGAGGUAUCAGAAGUGCGAAUGCUGACAUAAGUAACGAUAAAGCGGGUGAAAAGCCCGCUCGCCGGAAGACCAAGGGUUCCUGUCCAACGUUAAUCGGGGCAGGGUGAGUCGACCCCUAAGGCGAGGCCGAAAGGCGUAGUCGAUGGGAAACAGGUUAAUAUUCCUGUACUUGGUGUUACUGCGAAGGGGGGACGGAGAAGGCUAUGUUGGCCGGGCGACGGUUGUCCCGGUUUAAGCGUGUAGGCUGGUUUUCCAGGCAAAUCCGGAAAAUCAAGGCUGAGGCGUGAUGACGAGGCACUACGGUGCUGAAGCAACAAAUGCCCUGCUUCCAGGAAAAGCCUCUAAGCAUCAGGUAACAUCAAAUCGUACCCCAAACCGACACAGGUGGUCAGGUAGAGAAUACCAAGGCGCUUGAGAGAACUCGGGUGAAGGAACUAGGCAAAAUGGUGCCGUAACUUCGGGAGAAGGCACGCUGAUAUGUAGGUGAAGUCCCUCGCGGAUGGAGCUGAAAUCAGUCGAAGAUACCAGCUGGCUGCAACUGUUUAUUAAAAACACAGCACUGUGCAAACACGAAAGUGGACGUAUACGGUGUGACGCCUGCCCGGUGCCGGAAGGUUAAUUGAUGGGGUUAGCGCAAGCGAAGCUCUUGAUCGAAGCCCCGGUAAACGGCGGCCGUAACUAUAACGGUCCUAAGGUAGCGAAAUUCCUUGUCGGGUAAGUUCCGACCUGCACGAAUGGCGUAAUGAUGGCCAGGCUGUCUCCACCCGAGACUCAGUGAAAUUGAACUCGCUGUGAAGAUGCAGUGUACCCGCGGCAAGACGGAAAGACCCCGUGAACCUUUACUAUAGCUUGACACUGAACAUUGAGCCUUGAUGUGUAGGAUAGGUGGGAGGCUUUGAAGUGUGGACGCCAGUCUGCAUGGAGCCGACCUUGAAAUACCACCCUUUAAUGUUUGAUGUUCUAACGUUGACCCGUGAUCCGGGUUGCGGACAGUGUCUGGUGGGUAGUUUGACUGGGGCGGUCUCCUCCUAAAGAGUAACGGAGGAGCACGAAGGUUGGCUAAUCCUGGUCGGACAUCAGGAGGUUAGUGCAAUGGCAUAAGCCAGCUUGACUGCGAGCGUGACGGCGCGAGCAGGUGCGAAAGCAGGUCAUAGUGAUCCGGUGGUUCUGAAUGGAAGGGCCAUCGCUCAACGGAUAAAAGGUACUCCGGGGAUAACAGGCUGAUACCGCCCAAGAGUUCAUAUCGACGGCGGUGUUUGGCACCUCGAUGUCGGCUCAUCACAUCCUGGGGCUGAAGUAGGUCCCAAGGGUAUGGCUGUUCGCCAUUUAAAGUGGUACGCGAGCUGGGUUUAGAACGUCGUGAGACAGUUCGGUCCCUAUCUGCCGUGGGCGCUGGAGAACUGAGGGGGGCUGCUCCUAGUACGAGAGGACCGGAGUGGACGCAUCACUGGUGUUCGGGUUGUCAUGCCAAUGGCACUGCCCGGUAGCUAAAUGCGGAAGAGAUAAGUGCUGAAAGCAUCUAAGCACGAAACUUGCCCCGAGAUGAGUUCUCCCUGACUCCUUGAGAGUCCUGAAGGAACGUUGAAGACGACGACGUUGAUAGGCCGGGUGUGUAAGCGCAGCGAUGCGUUGAGCUAACCGGUACUAAUGAACCGUGAGGCUUAACCUU
This 2904-nucleotide ribosomal RNA is filed under the name Escherichia coli. RNAcentral's name for it is "23S ribosomal RNA". It matches the Rfam family "Bacterial large subunit ribosomal RNA". The record is from RNAcentral. Lineage: Bacteria; Pseudomonadati; Pseudomonadota; Gammaproteobacteria; Enterobacterales; Enterobacteriaceae.